RNAcentral lists this long non-coding RNA (1668 nucleotides) under Nothobranchius furzeri (turquoise killifish). Its description in RNAcentral is "lncRNA (ENSNFUG00015022837.1)". Lineage: Eukaryota; Metazoa; Chordata; Actinopteri; Cyprinodontiformes; Nothobranchiidae. The record is from RNAcentral.
AUGCUAGAGGAUGUCUCAGAUGGUCAAAAUGUCAAAGAUCAUUUACUUUUGCAGCAGUAUCCAUCAUCUCUGUCCCUUAUGCUCUACCAAGAUGCAUUCGAAGUGGUCAGUCCAUUAGGUCCAGGCAAAACAAAACACAAAAUCCUAGCAGUGUACAUGACACUAGGUGAGAUUUUAUCGCACAACCGGUCUUCUGUUGAUGCGAUGCAACUUGUUUCGCUUUGCAGAGAAGCCGAUUUCAAGACUUUUGGCCACAACAAAGUUUUUGCCAGUCUUACUGCAGACCUUAAAAAUUUGGAAGAGACGGGGUUUCUGGCAGCAGACGGAAACAUGAUCAAAGCAGUUUUGAUAGCCUUCUUAGGGGGCAAUCUGGGCUCACACUGCAUUGGUGGUUUUACUGAGAAUUUCAGUUGCAGCAAACAUUUUUGCAGAUACUGCUUAGUUGACAGGGAAGGCUUCAUUAAAAAUCCACUAGCACUUUGCCCAAAAAGAACUGCUGACAACUAUAAAGAUAGUAUAGAGAUCCUCUCCACAACUGACCAGUCUGUUGUGAAUGGGAUAAAAUGUAACUCUGUAUUCAAUUCACUGAAGUACUUCCAUGUGUGCUCUGGGCUACCUCCAUGUUUGGGCCAUGUCCAUGACCUAUAUGAAGGAGUAGUUUCAGGUGACUUGUCACUAUAUAUUGACACCCUUGUUCAAGUUGAGAAGCAUUUCACAUAUAAUGAGUUAAACAGAGCUGUUGCAAAGUUCAAACACAUAGGAAGUGAUGCUUUAAGUAAGCCAUGUGAGGUGAAAACAGGACAGAGGUUGGCAGGUUCAGCAGCACAAAACCGAUGCCUUCUGCGACUUUUACCUCUGUACAUUGGUGAAAAGAUAAAAGAUCCUGUGGAUAAUGAGGUUUGGCAGUUAUGUCUUAAGCUCAGAGACAUUGUUGAACUUGUAUGUGCCCCCCAAAUCAGUCACAAUGACAUUGCCUACCUAAAGAUAAUGAUAGAGGAGUAUAUAUAUCUGAGGCACAGUAUGUUUCCUGACAAGGCUUUGAAACCAAAGCACCACUAUUUGUCACAUUAUCCAGAGCUUAUACUUCACUUUGGGCCACUUAUUCAUUUAUGGACUCUUAGGUUUGAGAGCAAGCACUCUUAUUUCAAACAAUGUUCAAGAAAAGUGCAUAACUUUGUCAAUUUAUGCAAGACUCUGGCUGAACGGCAUCAGCUACUGCAGUCCUACCUCUUGGCAGGGCAAAUAUUUCCACCUACAAUUCAAAUCAUUGGGGAAGCGAAUGAUUAUAGACAUCAUCUUUACAACUCUGCCACUCAGGAUGCUGUGACAAAAGCAGAUGUCUCUAAUCAUAACAUGCUAGAUGUGUCAGCAGUUGUCUACAAAGGUACCAAAUAUGUCAAAGGUCAUGUUGUUGUAGUAGAUCACACUGAUGAGAGCACAGAGGUUGGGAAGAUAGUUGUGAUACUUGUUAAUGAUUCUAAAUUGUACUUUGUGCUAGAAUUGCAUCAGUCAGUACGCCUUAUUGACCUUGGACUUUAUUGCCUACACUGCCCUACAGACAGAAGUUUGUGUGUAAAUGCUGACAGUCUGAUGGAUUAUUACCCAAUACCCCUUUAUAACAUGGCAGAUCAUUUUGUUGUUUCCCUGCACCAUUCAGUUUCUUCAUGA